RNAcentral lists this ribosomal RNA (497 nucleotides) under uncultured bacterium. Its description in RNAcentral is "partial 16S ribosomal RNA". It matches the Rfam family "Bacterial small subunit ribosomal RNA", at positions 28 to 507 of the family's 1533-position model. The record is from RNAcentral.
GAUGAACGCUGGCGGCGUGCCUAAUACAUGCAAGUCGAGCGAACAGACGAGGAGCUUGCUCCUCUGACGUUAGCGGCGGACGGGUGAGUAACACGUGGAUAACCUACCUAUAAGACUGGGAUAACUUCGGGAAACCGGAGCUAAUACCGGAUAAUAUAUUGAACCGCAUGGUUCAAUAGUGAAAGACGGUUUUGCUGUCACUUAUAGAUGGUUCCGCGCCGCAUUAGCUAGUUGGUACGGUAACGGCUUACCAAGGCAACGAUGCGUAGCCGACCUGAGAGAGUGAUCGGCCACACUGGAACUGAGACACGGACAAUACUCCUACGGGAGGCAGCAGUAGGGAAUCUUCCGCAAUGGGCGAAAGCUUGACGGAGCAACGCCGCGUGAGUGAUGAAGGUCUUCGGAUCGUAAAACCCUGUUAUUAGGGAAGAACAAAUGUGUAAGUAACUAUGCACGGCUUGACGGUACCUAAUCAGAAAGCCACGGCUAACUACGUG